AGCGAACGCUGGCGGCGUGCCUAACACAUGCAAGUCGAACGUGAAAAGGGAAACCUGAGCACAGUGGCGUACGGGUGAGUAACGCGUAGGUAAUCUACCCCAGAAUCUGGAAUAACCUGCCGAAAGGCGGGCUAAUACUGGAUAGAGCGAGGGAACUCGUAAGAGAGUUUUUCGGGAAAGGGAGCCCGCAAGGGCCUUCGUUCUGGGAUGAGCCUGCGUCUCAUUAGCUAGUUGGUAAGGUAACGGCUUACCAAGGCGAUGAUGAGUAGCUGGUCUGAGAGGAUGAUCAGCCACACUGGAACUGAAACACGGUCCAGACUCCUACGGGAGGCAGCAGUGGGGAAUCUUGCGCAAUGGACGAAAGUCUGACGCAGCCACGCCGCGUGAGUGAAGAAGGCCUUCGGGUUGUAAAGCUCUGUCGGAUGGGACGAACAUCUUCAUAGUGAAUAGCUAUGAGGACUGACGGUACCAUCAAAGGAAGCACCGGCUAACUCCGUG
RNAcentral lists this ribosomal RNA (498 nucleotides) under uncultured bacterium. RNAcentral's name for it is "partial 16S ribosomal RNA". It matches the Rfam family "Bacterial small subunit ribosomal RNA", at positions 29 to 507 of the family's 1533-position model. The record is from RNAcentral.